This is a non-coding RNA of Rhineura floridana, 463 nucleotides long. The record is from the annotation of a RefSeq genome assembly. Lineage: Eukaryota; Metazoa; Chordata; Lepidosauria; Squamata; Rhineuridae.
AUGUCUCUCCUUUGGGCCUUGGCUGUGCUCAUCAUCACCUCAGUCUUAAAAAGGAGUGUUGCACAGUCAGUCGACCAAACGGAAGGCACUGUGACUACCCUCGAAGGACACCGUUUUGCUCUCAACUGUUCCUAUAAAUAUUCUGGCACAGUCAGCGCAUUCUGGUACAUUCAGCAUCCCAGCCAACCUCCCAGACUCCUUCUGAGUAAUUAUGGAGCAGGUUCCACCUCCGGUGAGGGGCUCAGUCAAGGGUUUAAUGCCAAGCUCGAUACUCAGACCUUCAACAUGGAGAGAUCUGCCAGCCGUCUGAAUGACUCUGCUAUCUACUUCUGUGCUGUGAGAGACACAGUGAGGUUUUGGACAAAAGGACCUGCCUGUCCUGGUAUCGGAGCUUCGGCCUAUCCAUGACCACAUCCCCUGUCUCUGGCCUUCUGUUUGUGUCCUGUUCUCAUCUGGGGAUGGA